RNAcentral lists this ribosomal RNA (325 nucleotides) under uncultured eukaryote. Its description in RNAcentral is "partial 18S ribosomal RNA". It matches the Rfam family "Eukaryotic small subunit ribosomal RNA", at positions 1470 to 1796 of the family's 1831-position model. The record is from RNAcentral.
CCCUUAGAUGUUCUGGGCCGCACGCGCGCUACACUGAUGCCUUCAACGAGCCUAUCCUUGACCGACAGGUCCGGGUAAUCUUUGAAUCUGCAUCGUGACGGGGAUAGAUUAUUGCAAUUAUUAAUCUUCAACGAGGAAUGCCUAGUAGGCGCAAGUCAUCAGCUUGCGUCGAUUACGUCCCUGCCCUUUGUACACACCGCCCGUCGCUCCUACCGAUUGGGUGUGCUGGUGAAAUGUUCGGAUCGGCCGUUUGUCGCGGUUUCCGCGGCUCGUGGCUGAGAAGUUCAUUAAACCCUCCCACCUAGAGGAAGGAGAAGUCGUAACA